UACGUAGGAGGCAAGCGUUGUCCGGAAUUACUGGGCGUAAAGCGCGUGUAGGUGGUGGGACAAGUCUGCUGUGAAAGCGCCUGGCUUAACCGGGCGAGGUCGGCGGAAACUGUCCGACUCGAGGACGGUAGAGGGGGGUGGAAUUCCCGGUGUAGUGGUGAAAUGCGUAGAGAUCGGGAGGAACACCUGUGGCGAAGGCGGCCCCCUGGGCCGGCCCUGACACUGAGACGCGAGGGCGUGGGGAGCGAACGGG
This 253-nucleotide ribosomal RNA is filed under the name uncultured bacterium. RNAcentral describes it as "partial 16S ribosomal RNA". It matches the Rfam family "Bacterial small subunit ribosomal RNA", at positions 524 to 776 of the family's 1533-position model. The record is from RNAcentral.